RNAcentral lists this ribosomal RNA (200 nucleotides) under uncultured bacterium. RNAcentral describes it as "partial 16S ribosomal RNA". It matches the Rfam family "Bacterial small subunit ribosomal RNA", at positions 335 to 524 of the family's 1533-position model. The record is from RNAcentral.
ACUCCUACGGGAGGCAGCAGAUGGGGAAUAUUGCACAAUGGGCGCAAGCCUGAUGCAGCCAUGCCGCGUGUGUGAAGAAGGCCUUCGGGUUGUAAAGCACUUUCAGCGAGGAGGAAGGUGGUGAACUUAAUACGUUCAUCAAUUGACGUUACUCGCAGAAGAAGCACCGGCUAACUCCGUGCCCCAGCAGCCGCGGUAAU